GUGUUUACAAAAUGCAUGUCCAGGCGUCAACCAGGCGUAAACCAGGCGUAAACUAGGCGUAACUGAGGCGUAAACCAGGCGUAAAAAUAAGCGUAAUAUUUAAAUGAGUACGUCUGGUUCACAAAAAAAAAGGCGUAAUAUGCAAAUGAGUACGCCUGGUCAAUAAAUAAACCAGGCGUAAUAUCCUUACAUAAUACUACACUUAUUUUAGUUUAGUGUAUUAACCUAGCUGUGUACUUUUGUGUAUUUGAAACAGUUGCUUUUAUUUUUUAUUGUUGGACAAAAAACUUGAAAUAUUAACCAUUGAAGAAGCUAAUAUAGAAAUAAAUACAUUUUGGACAGACACUGGCUCAAAUAAGUUUAAGUUUAAAUAAGAAUUAUGACAAUUAAAUAUUUUUUGAAAUAAAAGUAGCAUUUUAACUAAGUUGUUUUUGAAAAUUAUUGUCUUUUGAACUAAAAGUAAAAGAUUUUGAUGUUAUUAUCCAUGGAAAAAGGUUUUGGGAUUUCAAAAUUUCUGAUAGAACAUAAUACUUAAUAACUUAGUUAUACUCGCAUUAUUAUUAUUUACCAUGUAUUACUACUUUCCUUUUAUUUCACAAUUUUCAUUCAUUCAUUUGAUUCAGUAUUUCCAAUUUCAAAUUCUUCCCAAAAUCACAAAACAAGUUAAUUAUCCCUGAAUAUAUGAAGCUGCCAUAAUUCCAACUCUUGCAAACUCAAACCAAAGAGCCAAAUUUUGAUAUUAAAUCCCAUGAUCCUUUAAACAAAGCAUUAUGGGUAUUUCUAUUUACGCCAUACCAACAGUUUUACGCCCGUAAGAAAAUUUACGCCUUACUUAUUUCAAUUUACGCCAGGUUUACUGCUUUUUUC
RNAcentral lists this long non-coding RNA (867 nucleotides) under Mytilus galloprovincialis (Mediterranean mussel). The record is from RNAcentral. Lineage: Eukaryota; Metazoa; Mollusca; Bivalvia; Mytilida; Mytilidae.